RNAcentral lists this ribosomal RNA (253 nucleotides) under uncultured bacterium. Its description in RNAcentral is "partial 16S ribosomal RNA". It matches the Rfam family "Bacterial small subunit ribosomal RNA", at positions 524 to 776 of the family's 1533-position model. The record is from RNAcentral.
GACAGAGGUGCCAAGCGUUAGGCGGAAUCACUGGGCUUAAAGCGUGUGUAGGCGGAUCGUUAAGUACCUUGUGAAAUCCCACGGCUCAACUGUGGAACUGCUGGGUAUACUGGCGGUCUUGAGCCACCUAGGGGCAACUGGAACAAGCGGUGGAGCGGUGAAAUGCGUAGAUAUCGCUUGGAACGCCAACGGUGAAAACAGGUUGCUGGGGGUGUGCUGACGCUGAGACACGAAAGCCAGGGGAGCGAACGGG